GGAGCUGGGGUUCUUACCCACUCCAGUGACUGCCUCUCAGAAAAGAACAGGGCAAUGUCCAUUCUCCUUUUAUUUUCUUUAAGCACCUGAUCAUUCUAAAAGCAUGUGUUCCUCCGUGUGUGUGAGUUGUGUACACGUGUGUGUGUGUUCCUUUCUUUUCUCGGACUCCAGGCUCAUGACUGCUUAUUUGCAUGGUGUUUUGGUGUCAAAGGAGUGUUGAAUGUGUUCUCCACACACCCAGCUUUAUUCCACUCUAGGAGUUUAACUUCUUCAGCAUUGUUAUGAGGUCCCCGGUGACCUCAGUUUCUCCUCUCCGCGUCAUCCAGGACUUCACCUGAAGCUUGAGCUACACGUAAGACUUCAUCUACCUUGCACAGGGCAAUGGAGAGAGGAUGGCAUACCAGAAUCACCAGAUGACAGACAUCGGGGUGCUGUCGGACCCGGGAAUCAGAACCUCUGCAGAUAGAUAUUUUGGAAGGCGCUCCCUAGAUUGGCACCUCUGGUUAGAACCCUGCCCAGGGACUGGACAAGUUGGGCCCAUGGCUCAUAUCUGGCCAGUGUUCAUUGCUUUGUUGAAUCACACUUAAUCCUUUGGUUUUGGUAGAUUCCUGCAAGUAGACUGACAGCUGCAUGUUUGCAGGAAAGUUAAAUAUUUUGACAGCGCAGAAGACUGCUGCAUCUGGAGGGUUCUGGGUCCAGCUAUAACCAGACUUGCCUGUCCUAAACAAAUGGAUUGACUGCUUCCGGCAUCCUCACUUUACUUCUGCAUGGUGACCAACAUCCGGAGCUUAAUUACCUGACAGCCAGGAGCCAGGCUUCUGCUGCCAUCUGGAAGGUCCUCUGCAGGAGGUGGCCCCUGUGUUGCGGUCUGUGGACUGCGCUGCCCUUUCAGCUGUGCUCCUCUGUGUGUAGAGCCGAAGUAGGCCCACAGUGUGGGGAGAAGGCCCUGUAGAAGCCACAAGUGAGAUACCAUGAGCUGGGAGUGGGGUCAUCUGGGUGGACAAUGACCUGACCUGAGGAUACUGGAUCUCUGAGUCCUGGGAAAAGCACAGACCAGCAUUAUCAGGCACAGAGUGCUUUCUUUGCUUUUAGAUUGACAGAGAUGAUGGUAAUCUCACUCACUGGGCAAAGUAGGGGAGGUGGUGACAUUACUCUGUUUGUCAGGGUGACCAGCAGCCAAGGGAGGCCACGGACACACUCAGGGGAGAUGAGCACAGCCACCCCCUAGAAUGAGGGUUUUUGAUGUUUGCUUGAAUGUUUUAAUUGUGAUAAAAUAAACAUAAUAUAAAAUGU
Homo sapiens (human) is the source of this 1293-nucleotide long non-coding RNA. Ensembl annotates it as long intergenic non-protein coding RNA 3095. NCBI's taxonomy places the organism in Eukaryota, Metazoa, Chordata, Mammalia, Primates, Hominidae. The record is from Ensembl.